CCUACGGGUGGCAGCAGUGGGGAAUAUUGCGCAAUGGGCGAAAGCCUGACGCAGCGACGCCGCGUGAGGGAUGAAGGUCUUCGGAUCGUAAACCUCUGUCAGCAGAGAAGAACGGUCACUGUGCUAAUCAGCAGUGAAUUGACGGUACCUGCACAGGAAGCACCGGCUAACUCCGUGCCAGCAGCCGCGGUAAUACGGAGGGUGCGAGCGUUAAUCGGAAUUACUGGGCGUAAAGCGCUCGUAGGCGGUCUGUCAAGUCAAGGGUGAAAUCCCCGCGCUCAACGUGGGAACUGCCUUUGAAACUGGCAAACUGGAGUGUGUGAGAGGAUAGGGAAAUUCCAGGUGUAGGAGUGAAAGCCGUAGAUAUCUGGAGGAACAUCAGGGGCGAAGGCGACUAUCUGGCACAUAACUGACGCUGAGGAGCGAAAGCGUGGGUAGCAAACAGGAUUAGAUACCCCAGUAGUC
This 465-nucleotide ribosomal RNA is filed under the name uncultured bacterium. RNAcentral's name for it is "partial 16S ribosomal RNA". It matches the Rfam family "Bacterial small subunit ribosomal RNA", at positions 338 to 795 of the family's 1533-position model. The record is from RNAcentral.